RNAcentral lists this ribosomal RNA (484 nucleotides) under uncultured bacterium. RNAcentral describes it as "partial 16S ribosomal RNA". It matches the Rfam family "Bacterial small subunit ribosomal RNA", at positions 30 to 507 of the family's 1533-position model. The record is from RNAcentral.
AUUGAACGCUGGCGGCAGGCCUAACACAUGCAAGUCGAGCGGAUGAAGGGAGCUUGCUCCUGGAUUCAGCGGCGGACGGGUGAGUAAUGCCUAGGAAUCUGCCUGGUAGUGGGGGAUAACGUCCGGAAACGGGCGCUAAUACCGCAUACGUCCUGAGGGAGAAAGUGGGGGAUCUUCGGACCUCACGCUAUCAGAUGAGCCUAGGUCGGAUUAGCUAGUUGGUGGGGUAAAGGCCUACCAAGCCGACGAUCCGUAGCUGGACUGAGAGGAUGAUCAGUCACACGGGAACUGAGACACGGUCCAGACGCCUACGGGAGGCAGCAGUGGGGAAUAUUGGACAAUGGGCGAAAGCCUGAUCCAGCCAGGCCGCGUGUGUGAAGAAGGUCUUCGGAUUGUAAAGCACUUUAAGGUGGGAGGAAGGGCAGUAAGUUAAUACCUUGCUGUUUUGACGUUACCAACAGAAUAAGCACCGGCUAACUUCGUG